UUUUAGCCCCGGUUGUAGUGUAAAUCCUUUUGCAAAGCUCAACUAUUUGUAAAUUUGGGCUUUGCAAAAGAUUGGAGCGAAAAACGGGAAAAUGG
Molecule: small RNA, 95 nt
Filed under: Flavobacterium croceum DSM 17960
Lineage: Bacteria; Pseudomonadati; Bacteroidota; Flavobacteriia; Flavobacteriales; Flavobacteriaceae
Description: Flavo-1 RNA
Rfam family: Flavo-1 RNA
Source: Rfam by way of RNAcentral